Molecule: ribosomal RNA, 522 nt
Filed under: uncultured bacterium
Lineage: Bacteria
Description: bacterial SSU rRNA
Rfam family: Bacterial small subunit ribosomal RNA
Source: RNAcentral
GAUGAGCAUGCGUCCCAUUAGCUAGUUGGUAAGGUAACGGCUUACCAAGGCUACGAUGGGUAGGGGUCCUGAGAGGGAGAUCCCCCACACUGGUACUGAGACACGGACCAGACUCCUACGGGAGGCAGCAGUGAGGAAUAUUGGACAAUGGGCGCAAGCCUGAUCCAGCCAUGCCGCGUGCAGGAUGACGGUCCUAUGGAUUGUAAACUGCUUUUAUACGAGAAGAAACACUCCUUCGUGAAGGAGCUUGACGGUAUCGUAAGAAUAAGGAUCGGCUAACUCCGUGCCAGCAGCCGCGGUAAUACGGAGGAUCCAAGCGUUAUCCGGAAUCAUUGGGUUUAAAGGGUCCGUAGGCGGUUUAAUAAGUCAGUGGUGAAAGCCCAUCGCUCAACGGUGGAACGGCCAUUGAUACUGUUAGACUUGAAUUAUUAGGAAGUAACUAGAAUAUGUAGUGUAGCGGUGAAAUGCUUAGAGAUUACAUGGAAUACCNAUUGCGAAGGCAGGUUACUACUAAUUGAUUGA